AGGUAACAUUGUCUAAGUAUAGUAAUAGAGACAUGGUGAAGUGCCUCCUAACAGAGCAGAAGUGACUCCAUCGAAGACUACUUCUUGGGGAGGAUUUCACACAGUUCAUCAUCAAGCAAAGAUCAUUGCCUUCUGAGCAGAAGAGACUCUAAAUAAAUAUAGAAGAAUAGAAAUCUGAAGUGGAAAGUUGUAGCCAGAGCAUGCAUAUGAUACUGGCAGAUCUUUUCUAAAGAGAAAUUCAUUUUCCAUAAAUGCUUUACAAUGGAUCCUGAUGAUAAGACAUCUUACCAAAUGAUUUGCUGCUCAUCAUAAAGAUUUCCCAGUAAAUAAAAUUUCCAGGCUCAUCUCCUGUUAUUGCAUGAAUGUUUUGGAACUACAUCUCAGGAAAUAAGUGAGGAUUGCAAAUUAUGACUUUCAGUUUGGAAAUCCAGCAAUGAACUUUGUUGACUUGGUCUGGCCAUACUGGCCAUGGCUUAGCAUUUGACAGAACUUUAGGGUCUACAGUUUCUCCGCAAAGGAAGUUCUGAGCAAUGGAAGCAAGGCUGGGCUGAGCAAAAAACUUCCUAAAGUGAUUUUGGUUUCAAAAAUCUGAUUUAUUCUCUCAGAAUCACACAUAACAUUCUCAGCUCCGAGAGAGUGUGCGCAUCACUUUAGAAAGAACUCUUGACUGGAAAGCAGUAGAUGUAGGUUCAAGUUUAGUUCCCCAGUUUGGUAGGCGAGGGGAACCCCUCCUCUGUCAUGUGAGAGAGAAACACCUUGUCCAUCCGCACCUACAGAGUUGCAUGGAUCUACGCUGGACAUAGCUCAAAAACAAUGCAUGAGAAAGAAUAGAAAGAGCAUUGGACAUGGAGCCUCUGUAGGGCUGAAUUCCUGCUCACCACUUACUCCUGAUACUGGGAAGAUUUUCAACGUCUCCAAGACUGGGGUUCUUCAUUUGCAAAAGGAGGGCUGCAGGAACUUGGAGUACUACAUGUAAUAACAUACUGGUCAUCACUCUUGGCAAAUAUUGAAAGCUUCACUUGGUCCCUGACACCUAAAGGAUAAAGAAGAGCUUAAUGAUCUGAUGUGAGGUUUUAAAAUUUGCAGAAUCUUGGCCAGGUGCGGUGGCUCACGCCUGUAAUCCCAGCACUUUGGGAGGCCGAGGCAGGCGGAUCACGAGAUCAGGAGAUCGAGGCCAUCCUGGCUAACACGGUCUGGAGAUCAGAAGUCCAAAAAAUGGGUCUCACUGAGCUACAAUCAAGGUGUCAACAGGCUGUGUCCUUUCCUGGAGGCUCUAGGAGAGAAUCGGUAUCCUUGCUCUUUUCCCACUUCCAGAGGCUGCCACAUUCCUUGGCUGGUGGCUCCUUCCUCCGUCUUCAAAGCCAGCGACAGAUGAUGAAUGGAGUCCUUUCACGUGGCUCGCUCUGCCCUUGUUCCUGCUGUCAUAUCCCCCCUUCUCUGUCUGACUUUUCUGUCCCCUUCCUCCACUCUUGUCAUUACUUUGGGCCCAUCUGAAAAUCCUGGAUCGUCCCCCUAAUUAAAGUCAGUGGACUAGCAACUUUAA
Pan troglodytes (chimpanzee) is the source of this 1543-nucleotide long non-coding RNA. RefSeq lists it as uncharacterized. Lineage: Eukaryota; Metazoa; Chordata; Mammalia; Primates; Hominidae. The transcript has 4 exons. The record is from RefSeq and is a predicted model, not a curated record.